GACGAACGCUGGCGGCGUGCUUAACACAUGCAAGUCGAACGGUGAAGCGCCUUCCUUUUUGGUGGGUGUGGAUGAGUGGCGAACGGGUGAGUAACACGUGAGUAACCUGCCCCCUUCUUCUGGAUAACCGCAUGAAAGUGUGGCUAAUACGGGAUAUUCUGGGUCUGUCGCAUGAUGGGUCUGGGAAAGAUAUUGUUUCGGUGGGGGAUGGGCUCGCGGCCUAUCAGCUUGUUGGUGGGGUGAUGGCCUACCAAGGCGGUGACGGGUAGCCGGCCUGAGGGGGUGGACGGUCACGCUGGGGCUGAGCCACGGCCCAGACUACUACAGGAGGCAGCAGUGGAGAAUAUUGCACAAUGGGCGGAAGGCUGAUGCAGCGACGCCGCGUGAGGGAUGGAGGCCUUCGGGUUGUGAACCUCUUUCGCCAGUGAAGCAGGCCUGCCUCGUUUGUGGGUGGGUUGACGGUAGCUGGAUAAGAAGCGCCGGCUAACUACGUG
This 494-nucleotide ribosomal RNA is filed under the name uncultured bacterium. RNAcentral describes it as "partial 16S ribosomal RNA". It matches the Rfam family "Bacterial small subunit ribosomal RNA", at positions 28 to 507 of the family's 1533-position model. The record is from RNAcentral.